GCCUACGGCCAUCCCACCCUGGCAACGCCUGAUCUCGUCCGAUCUGGGAAGCUAAGCAGGGUCGGGCCUGGUUAGUACUUGGAUGGGAGACCUCCUGGGAAUACCGGGUGCUGUAGGUU
RNAcentral lists this ribosomal RNA (119 nucleotides) under Phasianus colchicus (ring-necked pheasant). Lineage: Eukaryota; Metazoa; Chordata; Aves; Galliformes; Phasianidae. The record is from RNAcentral.